GUUACAAUGAUGAUUUUGAUACCGCCCCAGACUUAUUUCAUCAUGAAUGAUUGGUUUUACUGACUGUU
Molecule: small nucleolar RNA, 68 nt
Organism: Hyalella azteca
Lineage: Eukaryota; Metazoa; Arthropoda; Malacostraca; Amphipoda; Hyalellidae
Source: RefSeq, a predicted model, not a curated record